CCUCUGGAGAAUCCCAGCGACGGGGGCCGAAGGUGUAAGGCGCGAAAGCGGCGCCGAUCUCUCAGGCAAAAGGACAGAGUGGA
Molecule: non-coding RNA, 83 nt
Filed under: chicken gut metagenome
Description: Glycine riboswitch
Rfam family: Glycine riboswitch aptamer
About the family: This family represents the bacterial glycine riboswitch. Glycine riboswitches usually consist of two metabolite-binding aptamers domains with similar structures in tandem. The aptamers cooperatively bind glycine to regulate the expression of downstream genes.
Source: RNAcentral